This 118-nucleotide ribosomal RNA is filed under the name Oryctolagus cuniculus (rabbit). Lineage: Eukaryota; Metazoa; Chordata; Mammalia; Lagomorpha; Leporidae. The record is from RNAcentral.
GAGAAUGACCAUACCACCCUGAAUGUUCCUGAUCUCAUCUGAUCUCAGAAGCUAAGCAAGGUCGGGCCUGGUUAGUACUUGGAUGGGGGAGGAGAGGGAGUGUGAGAUGGAUUUUUCC